GUGUUCGAUUAAGCCAUGCGAGUUAAUGUUCUUCGUGAACAUAGCAGACUGCUCAGUAACACGUGGAUAACCUGCCCUUAGGACUGGCAUAACCCCGGGAAACUGGGGAUAAUUCCGGAUAGAUCAUAAAUGCUGGAAUGCUUUAUGAUUGAAAGGUUUCGACCGCCUUAGGAUGGAUCUGCGGCCUAUCAGGUUGUAGUGGGUGUAAUGUACCUACUAGCCUACGACGGGUACGGGUUGUGGAAGCAAGAGCCCGGAGAUGGAUUCUGAGACAUGAAUCCAGGCCCUACGGGGCGCAGCAGGCGCGAAAACUUUACAAUGCGGGAAACCGUGAUAAGGGAACACUGAGUGCUAGCAUUUAUGUUAGCUGUCCACAUGUGUAAAUAGCAUGUGAUAGCAAGGGCUGGGCAAGACCGGUGCCAGCCGCCGCGGUAACACCGGCAGCCCGAGUGGUGAUCACUAUUAUUGGGUCUAAAGGGUCCGUAGCCGGUUUAAUCAGUCUUCUGGGAAAUCUAAUCGCUUAACUAUUAGGCUUCCAGGGGAUACUGUUAGACUUGGGACCGGGAGAGGUAAGAGGUACUGCAGGGGUAGGAGUGAAAUCUUGUAAUCCCUGUGAGACCACCAGUGGCGAAGGCGCCUUACCAGAACGGGUCCGACGGUGAGGGACGAAAGCUGGGGGCACGAACCGGAUUAGAUACCCGGGUAGUCCCAGCUGUAAACGAUGCUCGUUAGGUGUCAGGAACGGUGCGACUGUUACUGGUGCCGAAGGGAAGCCGUGAAACGAGCCAACUG
Molecule: ribosomal RNA, 792 nt
Filed under: uncultured archaeon
Lineage: Archaea
Description: bacterial SSU rRNA
Rfam family: Archaeal small subunit ribosomal RNA
Source: RNAcentral